GCAGGAUAUUAGAUCCCCACACUGCAGCAGCUGUUCUGGCUUGUGUUACAGGAUUUCAGAUGUGAGACCAGUCUGUGCUACCAAGACCAAUGUAUGAUCAGCUGAACAAGAAACACGUGAUACUCCUGUGUAUGGUUGUCACACUACCUGUAAGUGUCGGUAAGCAGGUUUGUACCUUUUCCGAGCUGGCAGAUUCAGCCGGUAGACAUGAUGACUACAGUGGUUACAGAACUGUUGCGAAUCCUGACAACUGUAAGGAGUUCUGCCGAGGGUACGAUUGGUGCGUUGCAGCAGAG
Molecule: long non-coding RNA, 296 nt
Organism: Haliotis rubra (blacklip abalone)
Lineage: Eukaryota; Metazoa; Mollusca; Gastropoda; Lepetellida; Haliotidae
Exons: 3
Source: RefSeq, a predicted model, not a curated record